GCCAGUGUUUAUGUUCUACAAUAUCUGGUCAACCUGUGAAGUCAUCAAGUCCCCACAAAGCAAUGGGACCUCGGGUGUGGAGCAGAUCUGUGUGGAUGUCCGGCAAUACGGUACCUCCUUUCAAUCCUGUCCCUAUUACUUUUUUUAUUGUCUUCUGCCUGGGUUUGAGUUGAGAUUAACAUAUAGACCUCUCUUUAGUCAUCACAUUUAGUCAACACAUUUCCUACCUUCUUCAAGAACAGUUCAUGCUCUUUAUUUUCUGGAGGUAAGCAUCUCUGGGCCUUUAAAAGGUACUUGCUAGACCAUGUUAUUUGGGAUUUGUAAAAAUGUUUAUCAAGUUAGGCAUAUUGUUAAAAAAAUAAGUCUUUUAUAAUGCAAAACUACUUUAUAAUG
RNAcentral lists this long non-coding RNA (393 nucleotides) under Rattus norvegicus (Norway rat). RNAcentral's name for it is "long non-coding RNA NONRATT030946". Lineage: Eukaryota; Metazoa; Chordata; Mammalia; Rodentia; Muridae. The record is from RNAcentral.